AUUAUCUUACAUGAUAUUAUUUAAAAACUGUCGACUGGAUAAAUUUUUAUCAAAUGUAUUUACUUAGAGGUAAAAUAGACUACCCCCUGAACAUGUUAUUGAUACGAAUUGUGCUUCCUUGUUUUAUUUUGAUAGAAUACUGUACAGGCUGCGGUCGAAGCUCAAAUCAACCAAAAUCACAAGGUCACACUGCUACCAAUGGUCAGGUUGAAAUGCCAGGAAAUCAUAGACUGAAAUGUACAGAAAAUGAAACCCAAACCAUUGCUUGUCGGAACGGAGGGACAUGUUUUGCUACUUACAUAGAUUAUAGAUUUGUUCGCUGUGCAUGUUUAAAAAAAUAUACUGGUAAAUUCUGCGAAAUGAUAGAUAUCAAUAUCAUUUUUAAAAGAAAAAGAGAAGAGAAAACAACAAAUGCAGGAUUGGUUGCUGGUAUUAUAACUAUUGUGUUACUCUUAACAGUAACUAUAAUUGUAUUAAUCUGCAAAAAGAAAUACAAGAAAGAGAAGAAGUAUCAAAUGAGUGAUAGAAAUGCAAAAGGAACAGAUCAAUCUGAAAUCAAAUGUAGUGAUGAAUUUCUUAAAAAGAUAUAAUAAUAAACUACAGAAACUAGAAGCAAUAUUCACAGAUACUCACAAUUUAGAAUGUAAAAAAUAACUUGUGGCAAACUCAGAGAUUAUUUAGACAAUUGCAAUUAAACACUGGCAGAUAAUAAUGGGAGAAUAGUGUUAUUUCAUUUUCGUGGUAUUAGUUUCACCCAGGUGAUGAAGUCAAUUUUUUAGUUCUGAGUUUUGAUUGGAAGUAUGAGUAUAAAUUAUAUGUUUGUCCCCCCGCGACGCGUUGCGGGGAACAUAGAAAUACCGGGCGUCCGUCCGGUUUUGUUAGCAUUUUCAUUAACAAAGUGUAUAUGUUGAUAUGAAUACUACAGCCAAGCUCAAUAGGAAGAUGGUCAACUUGUCAUUUUACUUUAAUUUCUAAUACGAAAUAAUGAAGUACUUCUCUCACACAUAACUUACUUUUUUACUGAUUUGUAUUAUAUAUUGUAGAAAAUUCA
This is a long non-coding RNA of Mytilus californianus (California mussel), 1051 nucleotides long. RefSeq lists it as uncharacterized. The transcript is spliced from 4 exons. The record is from RefSeq and is a predicted model, not a curated record. NCBI's taxonomy places the organism in Eukaryota, Metazoa, Mollusca, Bivalvia, Mytilida, Mytilidae.